UAGCUUUAUUGAAACAUAGUAAUUUGGUAUACGUGGCAAAGAUAUUAAUCUUUGUCACAUUACCCCCCUUAUUAUUAUUGUCUAAAAUCAAGUUUUAAGAAUGUAAAAACCAAAAAAUUAUAUAACUUUUAACAAUGGAUCUCUAGGCUCUCACAUCGAUGAAGAACACAGUGAAAUGUGAUAAGUAAUGUGAAUUGCAGAAUUCAGUGAAUCAUCGAAUCUUUGAACGCACCUUGCGCCUUUUGGUAUUCCAAAAGGCACACCUGUUUGAGUGUCAUGAAACCUUCUCAUUAAUUAAUUUUAUUUUAUUAAGAUUUUUUAAUGGAUUUUGAGUGUUGCUGUAAUUGGCUCACUUUAAAUAUAUAAGUUUUUUUCAUACUUUGAUUUGGAUUGACUUAAUGUGAUAUAUUAUCUUCAUUAAGAAGUGUAUCUUUUUUAGAUACUGCCAUUUCUUUAUAGUAAUGAAAUUGCUUCUAACCUGUCAAUAUGACAAAUUCUUUUUUUAAGACCUCAAAUCAGGUGGGACUACCUGCUGAACUUAAGCAUAUCAAUAAGCAGAGGAAAAGAAACUAACAAGGAUUCCCCUAGUAACGGCGAGUGAAGAGGGAAAAGCCCAAAUUUGUAAUCUGGCUCUUUUAGAGUCCGAGUUGUAAUUUGAAGAGCUGUUUUCUGUGCUACCCCAUUUAUAAGUCUGUUGGAAAACAGCAUCAUUGAGGGUGAUAAUCCCGUUUAUGGAAUGGAUAAGUAGUACUAUAUGAUACAGUCUCUAAGAGUCGAGUUGUUUGGGAAUGCAGCUCAAAGUGGGUGGUAAAUUCCAUCUAAGGCUAAAUAUAGGUGAGAGACCGAUAGCAAACAAGUACCGUGAGGGAAAGAUGAAAAGAACUUUGGAAAGAGAGUUAACAGUACGUGAAAUUGUUAAAAGG
This 923-nucleotide ribosomal RNA is filed under the name Austropuccinia psidii. RNAcentral describes it as "eukaryotic LSU rRNA". The stretch from base 506 to 923 matches the Rfam family "Eukaryotic large subunit ribosomal RNA", at positions 1 to 415 of the family's 3401-position model. The record is from RNAcentral. Lineage: Eukaryota; Fungi; Basidiomycota; Pucciniomycetes; Pucciniales; Sphaerophragmiaceae.